UACAGGGGGUGCAAACGUUGCUCGGAAUCAUUGGGCGUAAAGCGCACGUAGGCGGUUAUUUAAGUCGGAUGUGAAAGCCCUUGGCUCAACCGAGGAAGUGCAUCCGAAACUGAAUAGCUGGAGUACGAAAGAGGGUCGCGGAAUUCCCGGUGUAGAGGUGAAAUUCGUAGAUAUCGGGAGGAACACCGGUGGCGAAGGCGGGUCUCUGGGCCGAUACUGACGCUGAGGAGCGAAAGCGUGGGGAGCGAACAGG
RNAcentral lists this ribosomal RNA (253 nucleotides) under uncultured bacterium. RNAcentral's name for it is "partial 16S ribosomal RNA". It matches the Rfam family "Bacterial small subunit ribosomal RNA", at positions 524 to 776 of the family's 1533-position model. The record is from RNAcentral.